GGAGUUUUUUGGCCUUUUGGCCCAAAAACAAAAUGUAGUAUUGUUCUUAUUUAGCCCUUAAAAACUGUAGUCCCCCUUGGGGAAAAUUUGAAAUUUUAAAAAAAUUUUUGGGCCAGGGGAGAUGUAGGGGGUUGCUCCCCUUUUUCCCCGGGUUGGGGUGGUAUUGCAGUACCCCCAGGGUGGCCCAAUUCCC
Small nuclear RNA from Ruditapes philippinarum (Manila clam), 193 nucleotides. RefSeq annotates it as U2 spliceosomal RNA. NCBI's taxonomy places the organism in Eukaryota, Metazoa, Mollusca, Bivalvia, Venerida, Veneridae. The record is from RefSeq and is a predicted model, not a curated record. The transcript has a single exon.